CAACAGGGAUUCCCCUAGUAACGGCGAGUGAAGCGGGAACAGCUCAAAUUUGAAAUCUGGCCCUCGGGUCCGAGUUGUAAUUUGUAGAGGAUGCUUUUGGUGCGGUGCCUUCCGAGUUCCCUGGAACGGGACGCCUUAGAGGGUGAGAGCCCCGUACGGUUGGACGCCUAGCCUCUGUAAAGCUCCUUCGACGAGUCGAGUAGUUUGGGAAUGCUGCUCUAAAUGGGAGGUAUAUUUCUUCUAAAGCUAAAUACUGGCCAGAGACCGAUAGCGCACAAGUAGAGUGAUCGAAAGAUGAAAAGCACUUUGAAAAGAGGGUUAAAUAGCACGUGAAAUUGUUGAAAGGGAAGCGUUUAUCACCAGACUUUUUCUAGGGGGAUCAUCCGGUGUUCUCACCGGUGCACUUCCCCUAGUUGAGGCCAGCAUCGGUUUUCGGAGGGGGAUAAAAGUUUCGGGAAUGUGACUCCCCCGGGAGUGUUAUAGCCCGUUACAUAAUACCCUUCUGGGGACCGAGGUUCGCGCAUCUGCAAGGAUGCUGGCAUAAUGGUGAUCAACGACCCGUCUUGAAACACGGACCAAGGAGUCGAACAUUUAUGCGAGUGUUUGGGUGUCAAACCCUCACGCGUAAUGAAAGUGAACGGAGGUGAGAGCCCUUACGGGUGCAUCAUCGACCGAUCCUGAUGUCUUCGGAUGGAUUUGAGUAAGAGCAUAACUGUUCGGACCCGAAAGAUGGUGAACUAUGCGUGGAUAGGGUGAAGCCAGGAGAAAUCCUGGUGGAGGCUCGCAGCGGUUCUGACGUGCAAAUCGAUCGUCAAAUCUGCGCAUGGGGGCGAAAGACUAAUCGAWCCAUCUA
RNAcentral lists this ribosomal RNA (853 nucleotides) under Nigrospora oryzae. RNAcentral describes it as "partial large subunit ribosomal RNA". The record is from RNAcentral. Lineage: Eukaryota; Fungi; Ascomycota; Sordariomycetes; Amphisphaeriales; Apiosporaceae.